AUUGAACGCUGGCGGAAUGCUUUACACAUGCAAGUCGAACGGCAGCACGGGGCAACCUGGUGGCGAGUGGCGAACGGGUGAGUAAUACAUCGGAACGUGCCCAAUCGUGGGGGAUAACGUAGCGAAAGUUACGCUAAUACCGCGUACGAUCUACGGAUGAAAGCGGGGGAUCGCAAGACCUCGCGCGAAUGGAGCGGCCGAUGUCAGAUUAGGUAGUUGGUGGGGUAAAGGCUCACCAAGCCAACGAUCUGUAGCUGGUCUGAGAGGACGACCAGCCACACUGGAACUGAGACACGGUCCAGACUCCUACGGGAGGCAGCAGUGGGGAAUUUUGGACAAUGGGCGCAAGCCUGAUCCAGCCAUUCCGCGUGCAGGAUGAAGGCCUUCGGGUUGUAAACUGCUUUUGUACGGUAACGAAACGGCGAGCUCUAAUACAGUUUGCUAAUGACGGUACCGUAAGAAUAAGCACCGCUAACCACGUCGCCAGCAGCCGCGGUAAACACG
This 504-nucleotide ribosomal RNA is filed under the name uncultured bacterium. RNAcentral's name for it is "bacterial SSU rRNA". It matches the Rfam family "Bacterial small subunit ribosomal RNA", at positions 30 to 528 of the family's 1533-position model. The record is from RNAcentral.